GCGGGUGUAGUUUAGUGGUAAAACUACAGCCUUCCAAGCUGUUGUCGCGAGUUCUAUUCUCGUCACCCGCU
Molecule: transfer RNA, 71 nt
Filed under: Streptococcus pneumoniae
Lineage: Bacteria; Bacillati; Bacillota; Bacilli; Lactobacillales; Streptococcaceae
Also listed under: 1 other name
Description: tRNA-Gly(tcc)
Rfam family: tRNA
About the family: Transfer RNA (tRNA) molecules are approximately 80 nucleotides in length. Their secondary structure includes four short double-helical elements and three loops (D, anti-codon, and T loops).
Source: RNAcentral